GGGACGCCCCCGGGAAGAGGCGGAGCUGGGUUCGAGCGCUGGGGCUGCGGUUGGGAAACUACUGGAGGAUGUGGUGCACCAGAAUAAGAGAAUAAACCAAGAAACAGGAAGACGUGAUCCAGGCAACAGGAUAUUCCAGUAUAGUGUUGGAAACAGAAGCCCAGUAGUGAAAGCUACAGCUGCCAUAUACUUGCAGUGGAAUCACAGGAGCAAUCACAGGUCUUUAAUUUAAUUCUGGAGUGUGAGCAGGAACCAGUUAACUACAUUCAUUGUCCAACCCCCACUGGUUUGAAAGAAGACUCCAAAUUCUUGGCAUAUGAAUCAGCUGUUCGGUAGCUCCACCUUAUCCCUGCAGCGAAGCAGCAGAACCGCCAAUGGCGGCACCUCAGGAUUCACACUGUGGGUGGUGAGGCCUUCCGCUGAAGGAGGUACUGGUGGAUGCUCUCAGCAUCUCGCUUUAGCCAGGCAGCAUUCAGCAGAAUAUUUUCACAACACUGCUGGAUGGUACGCUCAGCUGAAGGAGCUGGGUGACUCUCGAAGAAAGCCUGGUAUAAAACAACCCAGAAUGCAGGAUCAUUACUAGCAAUAAGAAGUUAAUAUUACAGGUUAUGAAAAAAUACCCACUGGUCUAUAUGAAGGAUGCAUAAUCUUCAGGCAUGAGAAUUUACCACUGCCACCCUCAGGCUAAAAGAAAACAAGCAACUCCUUGGACCUGCAUAUAGGAAUUCUCCCCUUAAUUAUAUGCUUAACAACCUAAUCAAAAGUUAAUAAAGAGACAGAACCUAC
Molecule: long non-coding RNA, 786 nt
Organism: Homo sapiens (human)
Lineage: Eukaryota; Metazoa; Chordata; Mammalia; Primates; Hominidae
Gene: KPNB1-DT
Product: KPNB1 divergent transcript
Source: Ensembl